This 364-nucleotide long non-coding RNA is filed under the name Phoenix dactylifera (date palm). RNAcentral's name for it is "long non-coding RNA (PDAC_LNC012151)". Lineage: Eukaryota; Viridiplantae; Streptophyta; Magnoliopsida; Arecales; Arecaceae. The record is from RNAcentral.
GACUCGGGAACUCUCCUUUUUACCUGCGGGGACGACUCGGCGUACAGUGGGGACGUCUCGCGCAUAUCUCUUGAAAACUGCCUUUCUGCCGCCACUGAGAGAGUCGACUCCGCUAACGCGGGGACGACUCGGCAGGUGCCGGGGACGUCUCCAAGUGUGCCAGUUCUUCCUGUUUGUGCCAGAGACGUCUCUGAAACUAUCAGGAGACGUCUCGGCUGUCCCUGAACUUUUUCAUUAACUCAAAAUGUUCUUCAAUGAAUUCAUAAAAAUUGUGGGAACUUGCCUAGACAUUUCUCAACAAUAUUCUAGAUAAAACACAUGAAUUCCUUAAUUAAAUUGUUAAGAUAUAAUGGAAUUAUGCUCU